GGGCCCGCACAAGCGGAGGAACAUGUGGUUUAAUUCGAUGAUACGCGAGGAACCUUACCCGGGUUUGAACGCAUUUCGACGGUAGUGGAAACAUUACUUCUAGCAAUAGCGAUUUGCGAGGUGCUGCAUGGUUGUCGUCAGCUCGUGCCGUGAGGUGUCGGCUUAAGUGCCAUAACGAGCGCAACCCUCAUUGAUAGUUACCAUCAGGUGAUGCUGGGGACUCUAUCAAGACUGCCGGCGUAAGCUGUGAGGAAGGUGGGGAUGACGUCAAAUCAGCACGGCCCUUACAUCCGGGGCUACACACGUGUUACAAUGGUUGGGACAAAGGGCAGCUACCGUGCGAGCGGAUGCUAAUCCCAAAACCCAGUCUCAGUUCGGAUCGAAGUCUGCAACCCGACUUCGUGAAGCUGGAUUCGCUAGUAAUCGCGCAUCAGCCAUGGCGCGGUGAAAUCG
RNAcentral lists this ribosomal RNA (453 nucleotides) under uncultured Bacteroidales bacterium. Its description in RNAcentral is "bacterial SSU rRNA". It matches the Rfam family "Bacterial small subunit ribosomal RNA", at positions 917 to 1370 of the family's 1533-position model. Lineage: Bacteria; Pseudomonadati; Bacteroidota; Bacteroidia; Bacteroidales. The record is from RNAcentral.